GAUGAAGAACGUAGCGAAAUGCGAUACGUAAUGUGAAUUGCAGAAUUCAGCGAACCAUCGAAUCUUUGAACGCACAUUGCGCCCGCCAGUAUUCUGGCGGGCAUGCCUGUCCGAGCGUCAUUUCCCCCCUCACGCGCCCCGUUGCGCGCUGGUGUUGGGGCUCCUCCGCCUGGCGGAGGGCCCCGAAAGCGAGUGGCGGGCCCGGCUGGUUGGCUCCGAGCGCAGUACCGAACGCAAGUUCUCCCCUCGCUCAGACGCCCCGCCGGCGCCCUGCCGUCAAAACGCGCAUGACGUGCAACUCUUUUUACAAGGUUGACCUCGGAUCAGGUAGGACUACCCGCUGAACUUAAGCAUAUCAAUAAGCGGAGGA
This 370-nucleotide unclassified non-coding RNA is filed under the name soil metagenome. RNAcentral describes it as "partial contains 5.8S ribosomal RNA, internal transcribed spacer 2, and large subunit ribosomal RNA". The stretch from base 1 to 120 matches the Rfam family "5.8S ribosomal RNA", at positions 35 to 154 of the family's 154-position model. The record is from RNAcentral.